Molecule: ribosomal RNA, 366 nt
Filed under: uncultured fungus
Lineage: Eukaryota; Fungi
Description: eukaryotic LSU rRNA
Rfam family: Eukaryotic large subunit ribosomal RNA
Source: RNAcentral
AUAUCAAUAAGCGGAGGAAAAGAAACUAACAAGGAUUCCCCUAGUAACUGCGAGUGAAGCGGGAAAAGCUCAAAUUUAAAAUCUGGUGGUCUUUGGCCAUCCGAGUUGUAAUUUAGAGAAGCGUCUUCCGCGCUGGACCAUGCACAAGUCUCCUGGAAUGGAGUGUCAUAGAGGGUGAGAAUCCCGUCUUUGGCAUGGACCCCCAGUGCUUCUGUGAUGCGCUCUCAAAGAGUCGAGUUGUUUGGGAAUGCAGCUCAAAAUGGGUGGUGAACUCCAUCUAAAGCUAAAUAUUGGCGAGAGACCGAUAGCGAACAAGUACCGUGAGGGAAAGAUGAAAAGCACUUUGGAAAGAGAGUGAAACAGUAC